RNAcentral lists this ribosomal RNA (723 nucleotides) under uncultured Lachnospiraceae bacterium. Its description in RNAcentral is "bacterial SSU rRNA". It matches the Rfam family "Bacterial small subunit ribosomal RNA", at positions 28 to 749 of the family's 1533-position model. Lineage: Bacteria; Bacillati; Bacillota; Clostridia; Lachnospirales; Lachnospiraceae. The record is from RNAcentral.
GAUGAACGCUGGCGGCGUGCCUAACACAUGCAAGUCGAGCGAAGCACUUUACUUUGAGAUCUUCGGAAGGAAAAGUUUUGUGACUGAGCGGCGGACGGGUGAGUAACGCGUGGGUAACCUGCCCCAUACAGGGGGAUAACAGUUAGAAAUGACUGCUAAUACCGCAUAAGACCACAGCACCGCAUGGUGCGGGGGUAAAAACUCCGGUGGUAUGGGAUGGACCCGCGUCUGAUUAGCUAGUUGGUGAGGUAACGGCCCACCAAGGCAACGAUCAGUAGCCGACCUGAGAGGGUGACCGGCCACAUUGGGACUGAGACACGGCCCAAACUCCUACGGGAGGCAGCAGUGGGGAAUAUUGCACAAUGGGGGAAACCCUGAUGCAGCGACGCCGCGUGAGCGAAGAAGUAUUUCGGUAUGCAAAGCUCUAUCAGCAGGGAAGAAACUGACGGUACCUGACUAAGAAGCACCGGCUAAAUACGUGCCAGCAGCCGCGGUAAUACGUAUGGUGCAAGCGUUAUCCGGAUUUACUGGGUGUAAAGGGAGCGUAGACGGAUGGGCAAGUCUGAAGUGAAAGCCCGGGGCUCAACCCCGGGACUGCUUUGGAAACUGUUCAUCUGGAGUGCUGGAGAGGUAAGUGGAAUUCCUAGUGUAGCGGUGAAAUGCGUAGAUAUUAGGAGGAACACCAGUGGCGAAGGCGGCUUACUGGACAGUAACUGACGUUGA